CUUAAAAGCCAGGCUUGCUUUCCUGCCUUAAGGAGGUGCAGUAGAACUUAGAAGCCACCAGAUGUCACUAUUGCAGAUAGCAUUCCAAAUUCCCCAGCUUGCAUCUGAUACCAUCAGUGCAGUACGAGUUGACAGGCUCCAAGAAGUCAUCUAAACUGUCCCUCCUGACAGGAAGCCACAGUGAACAGCUGCUGUCACUCAAUUGGAAAAAGAAUGAUGAAUAAUUUUAAAUGAUUUUCCUACAGGAACUCAUUAUACAAUGACAAAUGGAGGCAGCAUUAACAGUUCUACACAUUUACUGGAUCUUUUGGAUGAACCAAUUCCAGGUGUUGGUACAUAUGAUGAUUUCCAUACUAUUGACUGGGUGCAAGAAAAAUGUAAAGACAGAGAAAGGCAUAGAUGGGCUGGAGUGCAGUGGCGUGAUCUUGGCUGACUGCAACCUCCACCUCCUGGGUUCAAGCAAUUCUCCUGCCUCAGCCUCCUGAGUAGCUGGGACUACCGACGUGCAUCACCAUGCCUGGCUAGUUUUUAUACAAAAUACAUUUUUAAAAAAAUAAAAAAUGUGUAUAUUUUUUGAGACCAAGUCUCAUUCUGUUGCCCAGGCUGGAGUGCAGUGGUGUAAUCUUGGCUCACUGCAACCUCUGCCUCCCAGGUUCAAGCGAUUCUUAUACUCAGCCUCCCAAGUAGCUGGAAUUACAGGUGUGUGCCAUCAUGCCAAGCUACUUUUAGUAUUUUUAGUAGAGAUGGGGUUUCACCAUGUUGGCCAGCUAGUCUCAAACUCCUGGCCUCCAGUGAUUCGCUGACCUCAGCCUCCCAAAGUAGAAAAUCUUUUUGAAAAAUAAAAUUCCAAAUCUCAAAA
RNAcentral lists this long non-coding RNA (859 nucleotides) under Homo sapiens (human). Its description in RNAcentral is "HSALNT0351231". Lineage: Eukaryota; Metazoa; Chordata; Mammalia; Primates; Hominidae. The record is from RNAcentral.